Molecule: non-coding RNA, 71 nt
Organism: Danionella cerebrum
Lineage: Eukaryota; Metazoa; Chordata; Actinopteri; Cypriniformes; Danionidae
Source: the annotation of a GenBank genome assembly
UUUCCUGUGGCUCAGUUAGUAGAGCAAUGCGCUAGCAAGCCAAAGAUUGUUGGUUCAAACCCCCAGAAAAA